ACGGAAGGCAGCAGUGGGGAAUAUUGGGCAAUGGGCGCAAGCCUGACCCAGCAACGCCGCGUGAAGGAUGAAGGUCUUCGGAUUGUAAACUUCUUUAAUCGGGGAAGAAAAAAAUGACCUACCCGAAGAAUAAGCCAAGGCUAACUACGUGCCAGCAGCCGCGGUAAUACGUAGGUGGCAAGCGUUAUCCGGAUUUAAUGGGGGUAAAGGGCGUGUAGGCGGCUCUGCAAGUCAGAAGUGAAAUUCCCGGGCUCAACCCUGGCGCUGCUUCUGAAACUGCAGAACUUGAGUACUGGAGGGGAAAGCGGAAUUCCUAGUGUAGCGGUAAAAUGCGCAGAUAUUAGGAGGAACACCAGUGGCGAAGGCGACUUUCUGGACGAUAACUGACGUUGAGGCACGAAAGUGUGGGGAGCAAACAGGAUUAGAUACCCUGGUA
RNAcentral lists this ribosomal RNA (436 nucleotides) under uncultured Saccharofermentans sp. RNAcentral's name for it is "bacterial SSU rRNA". It matches the Rfam family "Bacterial small subunit ribosomal RNA", at positions 341 to 792 of the family's 1533-position model. The record is from RNAcentral. Lineage: Bacteria; Bacillati; Bacillota; Clostridia; Eubacteriales; Oscillospiraceae.